Molecule: ribosomal RNA, 432 nt
Filed under: uncultured bacterium
Lineage: Bacteria
Description: partial 16S ribosomal RNA
Rfam family: Bacterial small subunit ribosomal RNA
Source: RNAcentral
AACGAACGCUGGCGGCAUGCCUAACACAUGCAAGUCGAACGAGACCUUCGGGUCUAGUGGCGCACGGGUGCGUAACGCGUGGGAACCUGCCCUUAGGUUCGGAAUAACUCCCCGAAAGGGGUGCUAAUACCGGAUAAUGUCUUCGGACCAAAGAUUUAUCGCCUUUGGAUGGGCCCGCGUUGGAUUAGCUAGUUGGUAGGGUAAAAGCCUACCAAGGCGACGAUCCAUAGCUGGUCUGAGAGGAUGAUCAGCCACACUGGGACUGAGACACGGCCCAGACUCCUACGGGAGGCAGCAGUGGGGAAUAUUGGACCAUGGGCGAAAGCCUGAUACAGCAAUGCCGCGUGAGUGAUGAAGGCCUUAGGGUUGUAAAGCUCUUUUACCCGGGAUGAUAAGGACAGUACCGGGAGAAUAAGCUCCGGCUAACUCCGU